AACGAACGCUGGCGGCAUGCCUAACACAUGCAAGUCGAACGAGACCUUCGGGUCUAGUGGCGCACGGGUGCGUAACGCGUGGGAACCUGCCCUUAGGUUCGGAAUAACUCCCCGAAAGGGGUGCUAAUACCGGAUAAUGUCUUCGGACCAAAGAUUUAUCGCCUUUGGAUGGGCCCGCGUUGGAUUAGCUAGUUGGUAGGGUAAAAGCCUACCAAGGCGACGAUCCAUAGCUGGUCUGAGAGGAUGAUCAGCCACACUGGGACUGAGACACGGCCCAGACCCCUAGGGGGGGCAGCAGUGGGGAAUUUUGGAAAAGGGGCGAAAGCCUGACCCAGCAAUGCGGGGGGAGGGAUGAAGGCUUUAGGGUUGUAAAGCUUUUUUCCCCGGGAUGAUAAUGACAGUACCGGGAGAAAAAGCCGCGGCUAACCCCGU
This 432-nucleotide ribosomal RNA is filed under the name uncultured bacterium. RNAcentral's name for it is "partial 16S ribosomal RNA". It matches the Rfam family "Bacterial small subunit ribosomal RNA", at positions 29 to 506 of the family's 1533-position model. The record is from RNAcentral.